RNAcentral lists this ribosomal RNA (497 nucleotides) under uncultured bacterium. RNAcentral describes it as "partial 16S ribosomal RNA". It matches the Rfam family "Bacterial small subunit ribosomal RNA", at positions 28 to 507 of the family's 1533-position model. The record is from RNAcentral.
GAUGGACGCUGGCGGCGUGCCUAAUACAUGCAAGUCGAGCGAACGGACGAGAAGCUUGCUUCUCUGAUGUUAGCGGCGGACGGGUGAGUAACACGUGGAUAACCUACCUAUAAGACUGGGAUAACUUCGGGAAACCGGAGCUAAUACCGGAUAAUAUUUUGAACCGCAUGGUUCAACAGUGAAAGACGGUCUUGCUGUCACUUAUAGAUGGAUCCGCGCUGCAUUAGCUAGUUGGUAAGGUAACGGCUUACCAAGGCAACGAUGCAUAGCCGGCCUGAGAGGGUGAUCGGCCACACUGGAACUGAGACACGGUCCAGACUCCUACGGGAGGCAGCAGUAGGGAAUCUUCCGCAAUGGGCGAAAGCCUGACGGAGCAACGCCGCGUGAGUGAUGAAGGUCUUCGGAUCGUAAAACUCUGUUAUUAGGGAAGAACAUAUGUGUAAGUAACUGUGCACAUCUUGACGGUACCUAAUCAGAAAGCCACGGCUAACUACGUG